This 479-nucleotide ribosomal RNA is filed under the name uncultured bacterium. RNAcentral's name for it is "partial 16S ribosomal RNA". It matches the Rfam family "Bacterial small subunit ribosomal RNA", at positions 28 to 507 of the family's 1533-position model. The record is from RNAcentral.
GAUGAACGCUGGCGGCGUGCUUAACACAUGCAAGUCGAACGAAGCACUUAAGAUUGAUUCUUCGGAUGACGUCUUUUGUGACUUAGUGGCGGACGGGUGAGUAACGCGUGGGUAACCUGCCUCACACAGGGGGAUAACAGUUAGAAAUGACUGCUAAUACCGCAUAACCCGAUAGGAUCGCAUGAUCCAGACGGAAAAGAUUUAUCGGUGUGAGAUGGACCCGCGUCUGAUUUGCUAGUUGGUGAGGUAACGGCCCACCAAGGCGACGAUCAGUAGCCGGCCUGAGAGGGUGAACGGCCACAUUGGGACUGAGACACGGCCCAAACUCCUACGGGAGGCAGCAGUGGGGAAUAUUGCACAAUGGGGGAAACCCUGAUGCAGCGACGCCGCGUGAGUGAAGAAGUAUUUCGGUAUGUAAAGCUCUAUCAGCAGGGAAGAAAAUGACGGUACCUGACUAAGAAGCCCCGGCUAACUACGUG